GGGGGGCGGUGGCGGGGGGGGGGGGGGGGGCGGGGGGGGCGGGGGGGGGCCGCGGGGGGCGGAGGCGUGGGGCACGGGGGGGUAAUGCGCCGGAACGGGCCCGGGCGUGGGGGAGAACUACUCGGAGGAGUAGCUAGGCCCGCCUACGAGAUGUGGACGAAGGCGGGGGAGCGCGAGGCCUCGCGCGCUUGGAGCGGCCGAUGCCAGAUUAGGGAGUUGGUGGGGUAAAGGCUCACCAAGCCAACGAUCUGUAGCUGGUCUGAGAGGACGACCAGCCACACUGGGACUGAGACACGGCCCAGACUCCUACGGGAGGCAGCAGUGGGGAAUUUUGGACAAUGGGCGCAAGCCUGAUCCAGCAAUGCCGCGUGCAGGAAGAAGGCCUUCGGGUUGUAAACUGCUUUUGUACGGAACGAAACGGCUCUGGUUAAUACCCGGGGCUAAUGACGGUACCGUAAGAAUAAGCACCGGCUAACUACGUG
Molecule: ribosomal RNA, 482 nt
Filed under: uncultured bacterium
Lineage: Bacteria
Description: partial 16S ribosomal RNA
Rfam family: Bacterial small subunit ribosomal RNA (bases 52-482)
Source: RNAcentral